This 468-nucleotide ribosomal RNA is filed under the name uncultured bacterium. RNAcentral's name for it is "partial 16S ribosomal RNA". It matches the Rfam family "Bacterial small subunit ribosomal RNA", at positions 28 to 507 of the family's 1533-position model. The record is from RNAcentral.
GACGAACGCUGGCGGCGUGCUUAACACAUGCAAGUCGAACGGAAAGGCCCUGCUUUUGUGUGGUGCUCGAGUGGCGAACGGGUGAGUAACACGUGAGUAACCUUCCCUUUACUUUGGGAUAACUUCAGGAAACUGGUGCUAAUACCUGAUAGGAGCUCCUGCUGCAUGGUGGUGUUUGGAAAUUUUAGGCGGUUGUGGAUGUACUCGGGGCUUAUCAGCUUGUUGGUGGGGUAGUGGCUUACCAAGGCUUUGACGGGUAGCCGGCCUGAGAGGGUGAACGGCGACAUUGGGACUGAGAGACGGACCAGACUCCUACGGGAGGAAGCAGUGGGGAAUAUUGCACAAUGGGCGGAAGCGUGAUGAAGAAACGCCGCGAGCGGGAUGAAGGCCUUGGGGGUGUAAACCGCUUUCGCCUGUGACGAAGCGGGAGUGACGGUAAUGGGUAAAGAAGCACCGGCUAACUACGUG